AGACGCUGUCUCUUUAGAUGCGAGGGAAAAAUAGCACUUUAUGGACUUCCACAGAGGACAUCAUGUUUAAUACGGUUCCGGAAAAAUCCAGUCAGAAGUUGUUCACAGAGUUUUCACAAUAACUGCUUCUCAUGAACCGAAGCUGGAUUUGCACGACGUCUCCUCUUGAAAGUUGGAUUACUGUGCACUUCUGGAUCACAGGCUAUUCGCAGCUGGACACAUCCUUCUACACUGUAUGCAAACAUGCAACAUCAUUACACACAGUACAAGGAGUUAGACUGGCAUAUGAGGAGCAAAGGAACCCAGGCAGUAGCAUCGUUUCACAAUGUUUCCAUCAUCAUCAUCAGUGGAUGCCUUUGCCGUCCGUAGCCUGAGAUUUCAGAUUUGCAGCAAAAUUUUUUUUGAUUUUCUCAUUUAUUGGAAUGCUGUGCAGGUAUUUGUACCUUGCAGCCAUCCAUUACAAUGUCACCAAGCCGUAACAAAAGCAGGAGAGGGAAAGUACAAGGCUAUGUUCCCAAAACACACAAGUGACAUACCUUAUGUGGAGGAUGUGAUCAGGCUUGUGUUUGAUGAGGUAUUUGAAGAUAAGCUGAAGGAAACCCCGAUUCCAAUGGACCUGGCAUCACAGUUUGAGAGACCUUCAAAGGAG
Paramisgurnus dabryanus is the source of this 649-nucleotide long non-coding RNA. RefSeq lists it as uncharacterized. Lineage: Eukaryota; Metazoa; Chordata; Actinopteri; Cypriniformes; Cobitidae. The record is from RefSeq and is a predicted model, not a curated record.